This 377-nucleotide ribosomal RNA is filed under the name Triticum aestivum (bread wheat). Its description in RNAcentral is "partial small subunit ribosomal RNA". The record is from RNAcentral. Lineage: Eukaryota; Viridiplantae; Streptophyta; Magnoliopsida; Poales; Poaceae.
CCUUGUAACUGCCAUCUCUCCCGAAUGGAUGCCUCUUCAUCGCAUCCCUUCUCCUUGUAUAAAUGCUUACAAUCAUCUAAUGAAAGAGAGAGAGGAUUCACUUUUCUUUUAACACGUUACCAGCACGCUCCCGAGAGCGAUUUGGUCUGAGAGAAAAAGGGACGGCGCGACCGCUCCCCGGCCAUGGCCUCUCCUGCAGAGGUCAUGAUAGCGGCCACCGGCCGGCGUCGCCUCCCUCCGGCCGUUGUUGUGGGUCACCUUUCCCCGCGCGGCGCUCGCGCCCGGAAUAGCCAGGCUACGCCCGCCCGCGUCGAGGCCUCGCCCUCGCACACUGCGCCACACCCCGCGCCAGGCUAUGGCCACGCGUCGCCUGCGCC